UAUAUCUCACCAUCCUUAUCCCCCAUCCACUGUCAUACUCGACACACCCAUUCCUUUUUCUUCAUUUCUUCCAUGCCAACUUCAUCACCAUAUAUCAUGUUCUUCUUUCUCCUUCAAUCAAAGACAAACCACCACCGUCCAUUCUUCUCCUUCUCCUCUCUAUGGCCUCAAAAGGAGCAGCACCCACACGCACCACAUGAGCCACCACCUUCACGUUUUCUUCCUCUCCAUGGCAGCACCUCACCAUCACCACCGCCCCUCCUCCUCACCAUGGCUGUUGUGUCCAGCCAAGAGGCCACCACGAGGAGGCCAGCACCACAAGGAACACGUACAGCCCCAUUCAUCAUAUGGUAUUGUUCAAGCUUCAUCAUCCAUAUCAUGACAAGGAGACACCAUCACCAUGCCACUUUACUUCCUCAUGUGGGUACGAAGGACGAAAGCGCCUUGCGGCGAAGCUAAAGAAUAAAAGGAAGCGAGCCGACGUGGAAAACAAAGAUGUGAUUGGAUUGAAGUUGCAGUUUAGGAAAGAAAUUGGCUAAGAUGCCGUUGACGGAUUGUUUCGUGAUGCUUCGUCGUACGGGGAAGACCCGGAGCGAAAUGACUACUACUGAGCCUUCGACGUGGACCCGGACUGAAUUCAUGACCAGAUGAGGGUCGAUGAUGGAAGUAUAGGGUAUGGGUGUUUAGAGUCUACUAAGGUUGGGUGUUAGUGUCCUAGCUCUAACUUAUUCUUAUUUUUGAGGGCUUGUGUUGCUGACACUUGACCUUUCUUUUGGUUUGUACUUUUGCCUACGGGCGUUACCUUUUCUUACUUCCCGUCACUGGAGUUUUACUCGUGACGUGGUUUACUACUUACAGCGGGGGCUGUAAUAUAUAUUGUGUAUUAGUUCUGCUA
This is a long non-coding RNA of Lotus japonicus, 895 nucleotides long. RefSeq lists it as uncharacterized. The record is from RefSeq and is a predicted model, not a curated record. NCBI's taxonomy places the organism in Eukaryota, Viridiplantae, Streptophyta, Magnoliopsida, Fabales, Fabaceae. The transcript has 3 exons.